GCCCUAGUAGCUUAAACCCAAAGCACCGGUCUUGUAAACCGAAGACUGGAGGUGAAACUCCCCCCUAGGGCC
This 72-nucleotide transfer RNA is filed under the name Discoglossus galganoi (Iberian painted frog). RNAcentral's name for it is "tRNA-Thr". It matches the Rfam family "tRNA". From Rfam's summary of the family: Transfer RNA (tRNA) molecules are approximately 80 nucleotides in length. The record is from RNAcentral. Lineage: Eukaryota; Metazoa; Chordata; Amphibia; Anura; Alytidae.